Molecule: ribosomal RNA, 611 nt
Filed under: uncultured Rhodobacterales bacterium
Lineage: Bacteria; Pseudomonadati; Pseudomonadota; Alphaproteobacteria; Rhodobacterales
Description: bacterial SSU rRNA
Rfam family: Bacterial small subunit ribosomal RNA
Source: RNAcentral
GACCUUCGGGUCUAGCGGCGGACGGGUGAGUAACGCGUGGGAACGUGCCCUUCUCUACGGAAUAGCCCCGGGAAACUGGGAGUAAUACCGUAUACGCCCUUUGGGGGAAAGAUUUAUCGGAGAAGGAUCGGCCCGCGUUGGAUUAGGUAGUUGGUGGGGUAAUGGCCCACCAAGCCGACGAUCCAUAGCUGGUUUGAGAGGAUGAUCAGCCACACUGGGACUGAGACACGGCCCAGACUCCUACGGGAGGCAGCAGUGGGGAAUCUUAGACAAUGGGGGCAACCCUGAUCUAGCCAUGCCGCGUGAGUGAUGAAGGCCUUAGGGUUGUAAAGCUCUUUCAGCUGGGAAGAUAAUGACGGUACCAGCAGAAGAAGCCCCGGCUAACUCCGUGCCAGCAGCCGCGGUAAUACGGAGGGGGCUAGCGUUGUUCGGAAUUACUGGGCGUAAAGCGCACGUAGGCGGACUGGAAAGUCAGAGGUGAAAUCCCAGGGCUCAACCUUGGAACUGCCUUUGAAACUAUCAGUCUGGAGUUCGAGAGAGGUGAGUGGAAUUCCGAGUGUAGAGGUGAAAUUCGUAGAUAUUCGGAGGAACACCGGUGGCGAAGGCGGCUC